UGCAAAAUAUCAUUCUCUCGAUCCCUUGGUCUUUGGCACGUAACUUUCAAAAGAGCAGUAAUUUGCUUAUCAUUUAACCUUUUGGUGUAUCUCUGAUCCCCCACAAUCUUGCAAACCUGGAAACUCGAUGGAAUUAGAUAAAAAAACUAAUUGAACAAAGCAAAUUCAUUAAUGCAAUCUAGAACGCAUGGACAUGCAAAACAAAGCAACAAGAAGAUGAAAGGGGUUCCAUUUGCCAUACCACGCACAUACAAGUAUUCUAAUAAAUAGGCAGGAAAAUAAUUGCCUUACAACUUACUCCAACUGUUGAGUAUGUUAGACAUUGAAAUCAAGAACAACCAUAUAAAAUCAUUAUGUGAAAUAAUAGUAUAAACACUUCUACAUUCUACACACUUUAUAACCUUAAAAAUAUAGAGCAGACUGCUAUAUCCCUUCCCAAACUUCAUAAUCAAAACCAAAAAAUAGACACAAUCUCAUAACAAACACAUAACACCAAAAUGAUUGGAAGUCAAAUAAUUUCAGCUUGGUUACCUCUCGAGAGAUGAAAAUAUCUGGAAAUCCAAAUUCCAUAUAAGCUCGGUAAGAAUAAUAGAUGCAGAGAGUAUUAACAAACCUCAACUUCCAUAUCAUAAAAACAAAAAUCAAUAAACAGAGUUAUUACAUGAUAAUAAAUAAAUAAAUUAAUUAAUUAAGUCAACAUAUAUAGCAGAAUAUUAAUGAGUAAAAAUAAGUAGCACAUCAGCCAUUGUUAUGAAAUAGGCAAGGCCACCAGUUUGUUUUGACCUUAUGUGAUUUUCUUUAUAACUCAGUAGGUAAGGCUUUCUUGAUUUGAACAGAAAACGAAAGGAAGAAACACUAUGUUUGCUAAAGGAGCAAGGAUAGAUGAAUAAAAAUCUUAAAUGGAAACAGAAACACUAUAUACUUAAGGACAUAAUUACCUAUCUGAUGUUACAAGAAUGAUAGGCAGACAUCUCUCAUUGGCACCCAAUGCAAUUAUUCUCCAGAUCAGACUGUCAUGAUACAUUGAUGCAGAGACUGUUGAAUCGUUUGCUAAAUCCGCAUUCUAAAGGACAUCGAUAUUGUUUAUCACCAAUUUGGG
This 1099-nucleotide long non-coding RNA is filed under the name Panax ginseng (ginseng). RNAcentral's name for it is "long non-coding RNA (PGIN_LNC013149)". Lineage: Eukaryota; Viridiplantae; Streptophyta; Magnoliopsida; Apiales; Araliaceae. The record is from RNAcentral.